This 420-nucleotide unclassified non-coding RNA is filed under the name Monanthotaxis whytei. RNAcentral's name for it is "partial external transcribed spacer". Lineage: Eukaryota; Viridiplantae; Streptophyta; Magnoliopsida; Magnoliales; Annonaceae. The record is from RNAcentral.
CCCAUGACGGAGCGGGAUGCGUCUUUCGAUUCUCUUCUCGCAAGCCGACCCAUCAUCGAUGAUACGAUAGGGAGGGCGCGGCGGGGCGCACCCGCCGGCAUCCUCCGCAUCCGAAAGCGCGCUGCGGCGCCGAGGUCCGCGUGCCCCCCCACCCCAGCGGGGGGCAACGACGCACGGCUACCAUCCGAGUGCCCGCCGCACCACUAUAUCCCCGCAGCCCGGGGGCUGCCGGGGCGUGGGCGGCCGGGUGCACAACUCAAUCCACUAGUGCCAGUACCCCGAAACCUGCACAGGGUAGGAAGCACAGGCAACACAUACUCGGACCGCGAGGGAGGAGCUUGAGCCCGGACCUCCGGCCAACAAUGCAAAGGCGAAGUCCCGUGACGGUUGGCUGCAGGAAUCCUACAGGGAGCCCGCCAG